GAUGAACGCUGGCGGCGUGCCUAAUACAUGCAAGUCGAGCGAACGGACGAGAAGCUUGCUUCUCUGAUGUUAGCGGCGGACGGGUGAGUAACACGUGGGUAACCUACCUAUAAGACUGGGAUAACUUCGGGAAACCGGAGCUAAUACCGGAUAAUAUUUUGAACCGCAUGGUUCAAAAGUGAAAGACGGUCUUGCUGUCACUUAUAGAUGGAUCCGCGCUGCAUUAGCUAGUUGGUAAGGUAACGGCUUACCAAGGCAACGAUGCAUAGCCGACCUGAGAGGGUGAUCGGCCACACUGGAACUGAGACACGGUCCAGACUCCUACGGGAGGCAGCAGUAGGGAAUCUUCCGCGAUGGGCGAAAGCCUGACGGAGCAACGCCGCGUGAGUGAUGAAGGUCUUCGGAUCGUAAAACUCUGUUAUUAGGGAAGAACAUAUGUGUAAGUAACUGUGCACAUCUUGACGGUACCUAAUCAGAAAGCCACGGCUAACUACGUG
RNAcentral lists this ribosomal RNA (497 nucleotides) under uncultured bacterium. RNAcentral describes it as "partial 16S ribosomal RNA". It matches the Rfam family "Bacterial small subunit ribosomal RNA", at positions 28 to 507 of the family's 1533-position model. The record is from RNAcentral.